RNAcentral lists this ribosomal RNA (244 nucleotides) under uncultured anaerobic ammonium-oxidizing bacterium. Its description in RNAcentral is "partial 16S ribosomal RNA". It matches the Rfam family "Bacterial small subunit ribosomal RNA", at positions 439 to 674 of the family's 1533-position model. The record is from RNAcentral.
GGAGUUAGGAAAUGUAAGUGCGCUAAUAUCGCAUUUAUUUGACGAAGGCUCCAAAGGAAGUCACGGCUAACUCUGUGCCGGCAGCCGCGGUAAUACAGAGGUGGCAAGCGUUGUUCGGAAUUAUUGGGCGUAAAGAGCACGUAGGUGGGUUUGUAAGUCAGAUGUGAAAGCCUUCUGUUCAACGGAAGAAUUGCAUCUGAAACUGCGAGUCUUGAGUGUAGGAGGGGAGAGUGGAACUUCUGGU